UACGGAGGGUGCGAACGUUAAUCGGAAUCACUGGGCGUAAAGCGCGCGUAGGCGGUUUGUUAAGUGGGAUGUGAAAUCCCCGGGCUUAACCUGGGAAUUGCACUUCAAACUGGCCGACUAGAGUACGGUAGAGGGAGGUAGAAUUUCCUGUGUAGCGGUGAAAUGCGUAGAUAUAGGAAGGAAUACCAGUGGCGAAGGCGGCCUCCUGGAUCGAUACUGACGCUGAGGCGCGAAAGCGUGGGUAGCAAACGGG
RNAcentral lists this ribosomal RNA (253 nucleotides) under uncultured bacterium. RNAcentral describes it as "partial 16S ribosomal RNA". It matches the Rfam family "Bacterial small subunit ribosomal RNA", at positions 524 to 776 of the family's 1533-position model. The record is from RNAcentral.